UGCAUCGAUGAAGAACGCAGCGAAAUGCGAUAACUAAUGUGAAUUGCAGAAUUCAGUGAAUCAUCGAGUCUUUGAACGCACAUUGCGCCCUCUGGUAUUCCGGAGGGCAUGCCUGUCCGAGCGUCAUUGCUGCCCUCAAGCCCGGCUUGUGUGUUGGGCCCCGUCCCCCCCGCCGGGGGGACGGGCCCGAAAGGCAGCGGCGGCACCGCGUCCGGUCCUCGAGCGUAUGGGGCUUCGUCACCCGCUCUAGUAGGCCCGGCCGGCGCCAGCCGACCCCCAACCUUUAAUUAUCUCAGGUUGACCUCGGAUCAGGUAGGGAUACCCGCUGAACUUAAGCAUAUCAAUAAGCGGAGGA
RNAcentral lists this ribosomal RNA (355 nucleotides) under uncultured fungus. RNAcentral describes it as "eukaryotic LSU rRNA". The stretch from base 1 to 126 matches the Rfam family "5.8S ribosomal RNA", at positions 29 to 154 of the family's 154-position model. The record is from RNAcentral. Lineage: Eukaryota; Fungi.